AGGACGAACGCUGGCGGCGUGCUUAACACAUGCAAGUCGAGCGGAAAGGCCUUUCGGGGUACUCGAGCGGCGAACGGGUGAGUAACACGUGAGUAAUCUGCCCAUCGCUUCAGGAUAGCCAUCGGAAACGGUGAUUAAUACUGGAUAUGACAUUCCUUCGCAUGUUGGGGUGUGGAAAGUUUUUUCGGCGGUGGAUGUGCUCGCGGCCUAUCAGCUUGUUGGUGGGGUAAUGGCCUACCAAGGCUUUGACGGGUAGCCGGCCUGAGAGGGUCGACCGGCCACGACGUGGGACUGAGACACGGCCCAGACUCCGUACGGGAGGCAGCGAGUGGGAAUAGUUGGACAAGUGGGCGGAAGCC
Molecule: ribosomal RNA, 359 nt
Filed under: uncultured soil bacterium
Lineage: Bacteria
Description: bacterial SSU rRNA
Rfam family: Bacterial small subunit ribosomal RNA
Source: RNAcentral